AAACUUUCAACAACGGAUCUCUUGGCUCUGGCAUCGAUGAAGAACGCAGCGAAAUGCGAUAAGUAAUGUGAAUUGCAGAAUUCAGUGAAUCAUCGAAUCUUUGAACGCACAUUGCGCCCCUCGGUAUUCCGGGGGGCACACCUGUCCGAGCGUCAUUA
RNAcentral lists this ribosomal RNA (158 nucleotides) under Thalloidima tauricum. Its description in RNAcentral is "5.8S ribosomal RNA". It matches the Rfam family "5.8S ribosomal RNA". From Rfam's summary of the family: 5.8S ribosomal RNA (5.8S rRNA) is a component of the large subunit of the eukaryotic ribosome. It is transcribed by RNA polymerase I as part of the 45S precursor that also contains 18S and 28S rRNA. Functionally, it is thought that 5.8S rRNA may be involved in ribosome translocation. Lineage: Eukaryota; Fungi; Ascomycota; Lecanoromycetes; Lecanorales; Ramalinaceae. The record is from RNAcentral.